GAGUAAGGUAAUUGAGAGAGUUGCUAGCAUGUUAGGAAGGAUAUUAAUAAACAAUAUAUCCUCUCCUGCCACCCUGAACAUUCCCACACGAAGGUGGGGAAAACCUCAGGCUCCAAUGUGGCCCUCCAGGACUUUCCAUUCAGCUCUUGGGACUCUUUCCCAGGCCACACCCCUCACUGGUCCUUCUCCAUGUCCUCCUUGAAUGCUAUUACCUAGCUGGUAUGUGUCCUUACAUGUUUGGAUGGAGAGGGCCUUAUGUGUUUACAGAAGACUGAAAUAUAUCCUGCUGUAGAAGGGUAAGAGUCACAUUCAUUGCCUGCUCCAUCCACUUUUGCCUCUGGUCCCACACACCCCUAGCAUGCAGACCCUCACACCCCAAGUUCCCCCACAAGGGACUGCAUCCUUUGGGCUGGAAAACAUUCCCCAUCCCUGCCACAGAUGUACCCUUUAGAAACUAAAUAUCUUUGUCAUCAUGACUAUUUGAAGAAGACAGUGUCGCAGUUUCACUUUACAGUGGUACCUCAGGUUACAUACGCUUCAGGUUACAGACUCUGCUAACCCAGAAAUAGUGCUUCAGGUUAAGAACUUUGCUUCAGGAUGAGAACAGAAAUCAGCAGGUUUAAGAGAUGCAGCAGCGGGAGGCCCCAUUAGCUAAAGUGGUGCUUCAGGUUAAGAACAGUUUCAGGUUAAGUACGGACCUCCGGAACAAAUUAAGUACUUAACCUGAGAUACCACUGUAUUUAAUAAUUAAAGAUAUUCUGAUCUCCAGCCUCAGUUUAAUAACAGAUCGUUUAUAUCUCUUGGCUACAUUCACUUUCUUCCUAGGUGAACUCCUAACGAUGCAUGUACAAGAGUCUUCACAUUUCUGUGUCAUACCAGUUGGUAUCCUAUCCUCAAGUAAUUUCAAAGCCUUUUACCAGAUGUCAGAUUUCCUUUCCAAAACCAAAUAUUACUAACGUGGCUGGAAUUUACACGGUCACAAUGAUCAUCAUGAUCAAGAUACAUUAUAGUCUCUCAUUACCUUGUAAUAAGAGUGGCCAGGCAUAGCCAUAAAGUUUCAUGAAGUUCUGAAGGUUCUGAAGACUUUGGAUGUUUUAUUAGGUGAAAUGGUUAUUCUCCAUUAAAAAUAGCAUCGAGUUUCAUUAGUAAGUCUAAUUUUUCCACUGUUAAAAAUGUUCCGUCUCAUCAGGGAGUGGCAGAUAAAGUCUGCAAAGUUUUAUGGCCUACUUGUCCCAAAAAAAGAAGCCACCUCAGCCGGCUGAGGCUGCAGCUCUGACCAUUCUUUCUUGGGAGCAAGUGCCAUUGAAGUCGUGACACCUCGGAAUAAACAUGCUGAGGAUUUGGCUGCAAAUAACUUUACUCUGUGACAUCGAAUAUGACUAUGCAGUAAAACCCGCAGGUUGGUGGGAUAUUGAACCAUGGUGAUGUUAUAGCACUUAGCACUUCUGGACUUCCACAGAUGUCGGAGGGAAAGCUAUUUUUAUUUUUUAAAUGCUGGAAAUUGAGUUUGCCACAAAGAACAAUUUAACACGAUUCCCAAACUUUGGAAACAGAAUGUGGUCUUGGAACUGAUUGGGAGGUGGGAAUUGUUUUUCUGGGUGGAGGGACUGGCAAUUUUACAUUCUUGGUGCAGGAUCAAUCCUUUGUAGUAGGAUCGUUUCUGUCUGAAAUACAGGAAUAUGCUUUUUUCCUACCCAGAUAUAGCCAUUUAAUAGGCUUUAAUUCCAGGAUUUGACGGUGGAAAGGUAAAUGUUCUUUUCUUUCCUAUUUUUCAGGCCUUGCCCAUCUGAAGCAUUUUACUGCUAUCAGUGGAGUGGAUAAAAGGAGAGGUAUAGAGUAUUAGAAAAACCUUUCUUCUGUUUUAAUAACCAAGCACAGAGCUAGUAUAAAAUUAUGGGAGAGUCAGGAAAAUACAGGAUCCACUUAAUUCCAGGGUGCCCAUGUAAAAUUAUUAGCUCUAUAAGAACUGAAUACAGAAAUCAAUUCCGUACUCUGGAUUCUGUUAGAUCUUGAAUUCAGUUUUGUUAGCUACAUUCUCUUCUACUUUUACCCCUAAGGUCCAGUCACUUCUACAAUUACUCAGGCAUGUACCCAGAGGAGUUCAGCAAGAUCUGGUUUUUGCUACUAAAAGCUCAACAUUUCAAAAACCUGAGAUGCUCUGGAACUGUUGAUAUAGGUGAAAUCCAAUGCAGUGCAAGCAGACAUAGGCUUGUGCAGCGGUCCUUUCCCUUCCUCUCCGCCCACUUCCUGCAGCUCCCAAAUCUUCUCCAGAGGAUUGGGGGACACUUGGUAGCAGAUUUUGGGGAGGAAGAGUACAAGGGCUACAGAGGAAGAAGAGAAGCUGGAGGUCCUGUUGCACAAGUGGAUUUCCAUUGUGGAAGGAGGUGAACAGCACUGGAUGUUGCCACUUUAGGACAACUGCACAGAAAUUAUGAUAGACUUUACCAGCAUUGCCCAUCCAAAGUUAAGCACUUGUGGCCUUGUUGAUUUCUAUGGGGGAGAGUUAAGUGGGAGUUUUAAAAUGAUUAACUCUGUCUGAAUUGUGCCCUGUGUGCUUGAUUAAAUGCAGUUUUGACAGACAUGUUUAAAACAUUUUUGGCACAAUCUUUGGCCACACACAUGCACUACAGCAUGUCUGCCAUUACCAGCAAACAGGAAAUCAGUAUUGUUCUUACUUAUGUAUCCGUCUCCCCAAGGCGCCAGUUCUUGAUAUUCCUUCUCCAUUUGGGGAAUUUUGGCUGAGAAGCAGAAUAAAAAUCCAGUAAACAAAUAAAUCAAAUAUAACAAAAUAUCAAACUUCCCAAUUCAGAUGAAAAUUGAAGGGGAAUUACAAGAAAAUAUUUCUCCAAGGGACAAGUGGGAGAAAUAAUUUACCAGCUCUUCCCUACCCACCCUCCUCAAAUAUUGUCUGAAAAAAAGGAACAUCUCUUCUGAUUUACCUAAUGUGAUAUAGCUGAAAUCCUGAGGUAUUAAUUAGAGUUUAAAGAAUCUUCCCCCACCCAUAUGCUACAAUUGCUUGGUCCAAAGUGAUCCAUAGAGUUCCAGUGGUAAUUAUUAUAUUGUUCUGAAUGCUGACCAGCCAGGCUGGUGACAUCUUUUGCUAGGAAAAUUGCAGGUUACUCCCUCAGGGUGGUUGUUAGAUAUUUGUCUUCCGCAGGGAUGGGGAACCAGUGUCACUCCUGAAGUUCGUGGAUUCCAGCUCCCAUCAGGCUCAGUCAGCAUGGCCGAUUGCCAGGGAUAAUGAGAGUUGUAGUCCAACAACAUCUGGAGGGCCAGAGAAUCCCCAUACCUGGUUUAGGGAACUAAUUGGUAGAGGAUAGUUUCUUGAUCAUCUCUGAAAAGUAAGGGCCAUUUUAGGGAAGGAAAUUCACCACCCCCACCCCCCACCCCCAGUUAGGGUGCUCUUAGCAUUUGGUGUGGGGAGGGCUGCCAUUUUGGAGAACAGAGUCAUUCUGUUUGGAGAACAGCGAAAGAAGUGGCGCAAGAGAGAUAAGUUGUGAGCUGAAGGCACCUCGGGGUGUAGGUAUUGCUUUCUGGGGGGUCUCAUGUGGAUCUUGUAACUGGUAGGAGUACUUGUGCUGUUUGCUUCCACCUAUGCUCCUAUUUUUGC
RNAcentral lists this long non-coding RNA (3610 nucleotides) under Podarcis lilfordi (Lilford's wall lizard). The record is from RNAcentral. Lineage: Eukaryota; Metazoa; Chordata; Lepidosauria; Squamata; Lacertidae.